UGGGAGCAAGAGCCCGGAGAUGGAUUCUGAGACACGAAUCCAGGCCCUACGGGGCGCAGCAGGCGCGAAAACUUUACAAUGCAGGAAACUGUGAUAAGGGAACCCCGAGUGCCCGUAUGGACGGGCUGUUCAGGUGCUUAAAAACCACCUGGAGAAAGGGCCGGGCAAGACCGGUGCCAGCCGCCGCGGUAAUACCGGCGGCUCGAGUGGUGGCCACUAUUACUGGGCUUAAAGCGUCCGUAGCUUGGUCGUUAAGCCUCUGGGGAAAUCUUCCGGCUCAACCGGAAGGCGUCUCAGGGGAACUGGCGACCUAGGGAUCGGGAGAGGUGAGAGGUACUCUGGGGGUAGGAGUGAAAUCCUGUAAUCCUCAGGGGACCACCUGUGGCGAAGGCGUCUCACCAGAACGACUCCGACAGUGAGGGACGAAAGCUGGGGGAGCAAACCGGAUUAGAUACCCGGGUAGUCCCAGCCGUAAACAAUGCGCGUUAGGUGAGUAUUGGGAAUUCCUGCAGC
This 513-nucleotide ribosomal RNA is filed under the name uncultured Methanofollis sp. RNAcentral describes it as "bacterial SSU rRNA". It matches the Rfam family "Archaeal small subunit ribosomal RNA", at positions 277 to 804 of the family's 1478-position model. Lineage: Archaea; Methanobacteriati; Methanobacteriota; Methanomicrobia; Methanomicrobiales; Methanomicrobiaceae. The record is from RNAcentral.